GAGUUUGAUCCUGGCUCAGAACGAACGUUGGCGGCGUGGAUUAGGCAUGCAAGUCGAACGAGAACCAGGUUUGUAGCAAUACCGACUUGGGGAAAGUGGCGAAAGGGGCAGUAAAGCGUGGGUAACCUACCCCGGGGACGGGGAUAGCUGCGGGAAACUGCAGGUAAUACCUGGCGAUUUGGUUGGGGGGCAUCUCCUGGCCAAGAAAUGAAUUUCGCCUCGGGAGGGGCUCACGUAGUAUUAGCUUGUUGGUGAGGUAACGGCUCACCAAGGCUAAGAUGCUUAGCGGGUGUGAGAGCACGACCCGCGCCACUGGCACUGAGACACUGGCCAGACACCUACGGGUGGCUGCAGUCGAGGAUCUUCCGCAAUGGGCGCAAGCCUGACGGAGCGACGCCGCGUGUGCGAUGAAGGCCUUCGGGUUGUAAAGCACAAAAGGAGGGAGAAAAGCGCAAGCUUGAUCGAACUCCAGUAAGCACGGGCUAAGUUCGUGCCAGCAGCCGCGGUAAGACGAACCGUGCAAACGUUGUUCGGAUUCACUGGGCUUAAAGGGCGCGUAGGCGGGUCAGCAAGUCCGGGGUGAAAUCUUUCGGCUCAACCGGAAAAGUGCCUUGGAUACUGCUGGUCUAGAGGGAGGUAGGGGCAGAGGGAACUUCCGGUGGAGCGGUGAAAUGCGUUGAUAUCGGAAGGAACGCCGGUGGCGAAAGCGCUCUGCUGGACCUCUUCUGACGCUGAGGCGCGAAAGCUAGGGGAGCGAACGGGAUUAGAAACCCCGGUAGUCCUAGCCGUAAACGAUGUCG
This 800-nucleotide ribosomal RNA is filed under the name uncultured bacterium. RNAcentral describes it as "bacterial SSU rRNA". It matches the Rfam family "Bacterial small subunit ribosomal RNA", at positions 9 to 814 of the family's 1533-position model. The record is from RNAcentral.